UUCGCAAUGCCCGAAAGGGUGACGAUGCGACGCCGCGUGAGCGAAGAAGGCCCUAGGGUUGUAAAGCUCUGUCGAGGGUUAUGAAAUAUAGAUGGGUUAAUACCCCAUUUAUUUGACAAAGGCCCCAAAGGAAGCCACGGCUAACUCUGUGCCAGCAGCCGCGGUAAUACAGAGGUGGCGAGCGUUGUUCGGUAUUAUUGGGCGUAAAGAGCACGUAGGUGGUUUUGUAAGUCAGGUGUGAAGGCCUUCUGUUCAAAGGAAGAACGGCAUCUGAAACUGCAGAUCUUGAGUGUAGGAGGGGAGAGUGGAACUUCUGGUGGAGCGGUGAAAUGCGUAGAUAUCAGAAGGAACGUCGGCGGCGAAAGCGACUCUCUGGCCUAUUACUGACACUGAGUGUGCGAAAGUUAGGGGAGCAAACGGGAUUAGAUACCCCGGUAGUCCUAACCGUAAACGAUGGGCACUAAGUAGAGGGGUUUU
This 477-nucleotide ribosomal RNA is filed under the name uncultured anaerobic ammonium-oxidizing bacterium. RNAcentral's name for it is "bacterial SSU rRNA". It matches the Rfam family "Bacterial small subunit ribosomal RNA", at positions 365 to 832 of the family's 1533-position model. The record is from RNAcentral.